CCUACGGGUGGCAGCAGUGAGGAAUAUUGGUCAAUGGACGAGAGUCUGAACCAGCCAAGUAGCGUGAAGGAUGAAGGUCCUACGGAUUGUAAACUUCUUUUAUAAGGGAAUAAACCCUCCCACGUGUGGGAGCUUGUAUGUACCUUAUGAAUAAGCAUCGGCUAACUCCGUGCCAGCAGCCGCGGUAAUACGGAGGAUGCGAGCGUUAUCCGGAUUUAUUGGGUUUAAAGGGAGCGCAGACGGGUCGUUAAGUCAGCUGUGAAAGUUUGGGGCUCAACCUUAAAAUUGCAGUUGAUACUGGCGUCCUUGAGUGCGGUUGAGGUGUGCGGAAUUCGUGGUGUAGCGGUGAAAUGCUUAGAUAUCACGAAGAACUCCGAUUGCGAAGGCAGCACACUAAUCCGUAACUGACGUUCAUGCUCGAAAGUGUGGGUAUCAAACAGGAUUAGAUACCCUAGUAGUC
Molecule: ribosomal RNA, 460 nt
Filed under: Acinetobacter baumannii
Lineage: Bacteria; Pseudomonadati; Pseudomonadota; Gammaproteobacteria; Moraxellales; Moraxellaceae
Description: bacterial SSU rRNA
Rfam family: Bacterial small subunit ribosomal RNA
Source: RNAcentral